Nicotiana attenuata is the source of this 1223-nucleotide long non-coding RNA. RefSeq lists it as uncharacterized. NCBI's taxonomy places the organism in Eukaryota, Viridiplantae, Streptophyta, Magnoliopsida, Solanales, Solanaceae. The record is from RefSeq and is a predicted model, not a curated record. The transcript is spliced from 4 exons.
UAUUUCAAAAAAUACUUUUUAAAUCAUUGUUCUAUUUCUUCUAUGUCUCUUCUUGCUCCAAAUAAAUAUCAUAGUUUGGUGCAGAGAAAUAUACGAAUUUGAUAUGUUUUGGUUGUGGUUAGAAAUUGUUAGUUAAUGGUUGUUUGUACACCGUGUGAAUUGAAUUUUUGUUCAUCAAUUUUAGUAGUGGUGAACUUUGCUUCAAUAUUCGUCCCUGCAGAGUAGCUUUGGUCGGCACACCCUUUUAAAAAGGGCCCUUUUAUAAGGGACAGUAAUUAUAGUUAGAAAUUGCUAUAUUUGGUUUGGGUGUAAACCUUUCUUCAUUGUGUCAAAAAUAGGUUGACGAAAUUAAUUGAUUGAGAAUAGAACUUCAAAAGAAGAUUCUGAAAGUUGGAAAAUUUGUAAAUAAUAAUUAGAUCGAUGGUUACUCUAUGGACCAAGUUGUCUUAUACUUUAGUCUCUACAUUACUGGGUUCCAGAAUAUAAUUUUUUUAAAUAUUAUUAUGCUGGCUAUCUAUUAUCUUCUAUUGCCCUUCAACUUGUAUAGCAAUCCAAUAUUUCGUUCGUUACCUGUUAAUGGUAUCAAUUUUAAUAUGACUUCUACAGUAUGUAUGUAUAUUUGUCCUUUUCUAGACAUACACAUAUUUAGUAACAUUACCUAUAUUCCCCAUUAUAUUUGAUCGUACGGAGCUAACAAAUGAUAAAAAGGUGGCAGCUAUUAGUAGCUUCUCAGUACUUCUACUUAAAGGUAACAGUUCAUAAAGCAGACCAACUAAACAGUUAAUGUGCAAAAUUGCUCCUAAUGAGUUAUCAUCGCAGAAUAUCAAUCGGUUCUCAACUGAACAGGUCCCUGAUGCCAACAGUGACUAUGAACGAGUACCACAAGCGCAACGAAUGCAUAGUGUUAGUUAAAAUAUUCUAUCUUCUCAUGGUUAUGCAACGAGUACCACAAACAUCAAGGAUACCUAGUGUAGCUAAAAAUACUUCACUUUCUCAUGGUCAUACAAUCUAAUGAUCGAUAAUUUAGCAGGUCGAAUAUUUCAAUACGAUAACGAGUUGCAGAAAUUAUUUGAAGACUAUUAUUCGUUAGGAUUAGUCAUAUAAUGACAUUAGCUAUUUACUUCAAACAAUAAAAAUUUAUUUUUAAGUUACUGUGAUAUUAAUAUUUUGGAUUUGUACUUCCUUUUAUUUGUUAAGAUUUAGUGAGAUACAUUAUGUUUUUA